RNAcentral lists this ribosomal RNA (1359 nucleotides) under uncultured Erysipelotrichaceae bacterium. Its description in RNAcentral is "bacterial SSU rRNA". It matches the Rfam family "Bacterial small subunit ribosomal RNA", at positions 27 to 1393 of the family's 1533-position model. The record is from RNAcentral. Lineage: Bacteria; Bacillati; Bacillota; Erysipelotrichia; Erysipelotrichales; Erysipelotrichaceae.
GGAUAAACGCUGGCGGCGUGCCUAAUACAUGCAAGUCGAUCGCCUGGAGCUUAGCUUGCUAAGCAAAGGGAGAGGCGAACGGGUGAGUAAUACAUAAGCAACCUACCCAUGAAGACCGGGAUAACUUCUGGAAACGGAAACUAAUACCGGAUAGGUAAUGAAAUCGCAUGAUUUUAUUAUUAAAGGUUAAAAACACUGAUGGAUGGGCUUAUGGUGCAUUAGCUAGUUGGUGAGGUAACGGCCCACCAAGGCGAUGAUGCAUAGCCGGGCUGAGAGGCUGAACGGCCACAUUGGGACUGAGACACGGCCCAGACUCCUACGGGAGGCAGCAGUAGGGAAUUUUCCACAAUGGGGGCAACCCUGAUGGAGCAACGCCGCGUGAGUGAUGAAGGUCUUCGGAUUGUAAAGCUCUGUUGUAAGGGAAGAAAUGUAUUGAGAGAAUCAAUACUUGACGGUACCUUACCAGAAAGCUACGGCUAACUACGUGCCAGCAGCCGCGGUAAUACGUAGGUAGCGAGCGUUAUCCGGAAUUAUUGGGCGUAAAGGGUGCGUAGGCGGCUUGUUAAGUUUGAGGUGAAAGCGUGGGGCUCAACCCCAUAAAGCCUCAGAUACUGGCAAGCUAGAGUACUGGAGAGGGUAGUGGAAUUCCAUGUGUAGCGGUAAAAUGCGUAGAUAUAUGGAGGAACACCGGUGGCGAAGGCGGCUACCUAGACAGAGACUGACGCUGAGGCACGAAAGCGUGGGGAGCAAAUAGGAUUAGAUACCCUAGUAGUCCACGCCGUAAACGAUGAAUGCUUGGUAUCGGGGCAACUCGGUGCCGAAACUAACGCGAUAAGCAUUCCGCCUGUGGAGUAUGCACGCAAGUGUGAAACAUAAAGGAAUUGACGGGGGCCCGCACAAGCGGUGGAGUAUGUGGUUUAAUUCGACGCAACGCGAAGAACCUUACCAGGCCUUGACAUCCCUUGCAAAGUCCUAGAGAUAGGAUAGAGGUUAUCAAGGAGACAGGUGGUGCAUGGUUGUCGUCAGCUCGUGUCGUGAGAUGUUGGGUUAAGUCCCGCAACGAGCGCAACCCCUAUCUUUAGUUACCAUCAUUCAGUUGGGGACUCUAAAGAGACCGCCGGUGAUAAACCGGAGGAAGGUGGGGAUGACGUCAAAUCAUCAUGCCCCUUAUGGCCUGGGCUACACACGUACUACAAUGGCUGUUACAACGUGAAGCAACACUGUGAAGUGAAGCGGAACACUAAAAGGCAGUCUCAGUUCGGAUUGAAGUCUGCAACUCGACUUCAUGAAGUUGGAAUCGCUAGUAAUCGCGAAUCAGCAUGUCGCGGUGAAUACGUUCUCGGGCCUUGUACACACCGC